This is a small nuclear RNA of Malaclemys terrapin pileata, 148 nucleotides long. RefSeq annotates it as U4 spliceosomal RNA. NCBI's taxonomy places the organism in Eukaryota, Metazoa, Chordata, Testudines, Emydidae. The transcript has a single exon. The record is from RefSeq and is a predicted model, not a curated record.
AAAAAUAUGUGAUAGGCAGUAUCAUAACUAAUGAGGUUAAUCCGAGGUGUGAUUAUUGCUAUUUGAAAACUUUUCCUUUUAAAUUUGCCUUUUUAAUUAGAUAAUCUCCAGGUAACAGAAUGUCCAUUGCUGCAAAAUCCUGCAGAAC